AUCGAACGCUGGCGGCAGGCCUAACACAUGCAAGUCGAACGAACCUUUCGGGGUUAGUGGCGGACGGGGGGGUGACAGGUGGGGACGUGCCUUUAGGUUUGGAAUAACUCGGGGAAACUUGUGCUAAUACCGGAGGUGCCCUUCGGGGGAAAGAUUUGGCGCAUCUAGGGCGGCCCGCGUCUGACUAGCUAGUUGGUUGAGGUUAUGGCUCACCCAAGCGACGAGCAGUAGCUGGUAUGAGAGGAUGAUCAGCCACCCUGUGACUGAGACGCGGCCGAGAAUCUUACGGGAGGCGGGAGUGCGGGAUCUUGCGAAGUCGGCGAAAGGCUGAAGGAGUCCGGAUGCGAGAACGAUGAAAGUCGUAGGAAAGGGAAAUUAUUUAACCCGGGACGAUAAUGACGGUACCCGGAGAAGAAGCCCCGGCUAACUUCGUG
Molecule: ribosomal RNA, 434 nt
Filed under: uncultured bacterium
Lineage: Bacteria
Description: partial 16S ribosomal RNA
Rfam family: Bacterial small subunit ribosomal RNA
Source: RNAcentral